Molecule: microRNA precursor, 103 nt
Filed under: Marmota monax (woodchuck)
Lineage: Eukaryota; Metazoa; Chordata; Mammalia; Rodentia; Sciuridae
Source: RNAcentral
AGUGAAGUAGCUGGAUCAAGUGGUGGUUCCAUUUCAAGUUUUCUGAGGAAUCUUUAUACUGCUUUCCAGAGUGGUUGUACCAAUUUGUAGUCCCACCAGCAAG